UACGGAGGAUGCGAGCGUUAUCCGGAUUUAUUGGGUUUAAAGGGUGCGUAGGCGGAGUGCCAAGUCAGCGGUAAAAAUUCGGGGCUCAACCCCGUCGUGCCGUUGAAACUGGCGCCCUUGAGUGGGCGAGAAGUAUGCGGAAUGCGUGGUGUAGCGGUGAAAUGCAUAGAUAUCACGCAGAACCCCGAUUGCGAAGGCAGCAUACCGGCGCCCGACUGACGCUGAAGCGCGAAAGCGUGGGUAGCAAACAGG
This 252-nucleotide ribosomal RNA is filed under the name uncultured bacterium. RNAcentral describes it as "partial 16S ribosomal RNA". It matches the Rfam family "Bacterial small subunit ribosomal RNA", at positions 524 to 776 of the family's 1533-position model. The record is from RNAcentral.